This is a long non-coding RNA of Homarus americanus (American lobster), 232 nucleotides long. RefSeq lists it as uncharacterized. The transcript has 3 exons. The record is from RefSeq and is a predicted model, not a curated record. Lineage: Eukaryota; Metazoa; Arthropoda; Malacostraca; Decapoda; Nephropidae.
GUCACGAUCACACUUCACAGAAUCAAGACGUUGUUUACAUCUGAGGAUCAUGGGUCGAGUAGUUGGUGUGAUGGCCGCCGUGUUGCUGGUGGCGCUGGUGGCCGCUGCUCCAAACGGCAUCACCUACGUCAACAUGUGUUCCUUUGGCGUAACCGUGUGUACGAAUCCUCACCUUGAACUGGAGCGUGUGGGCCCCUGUGAGGACGACCCAGGUACCGAGCAGUGAGAAGGU